AUGCCAUUUUGGUAGGCCGUACUUGGUGGUUUCAUUUUUCGCCUCGUGGAAGAAAAAAAAAAAAAAAAGACUUUCCACGCUGUAUUAGAUAAUUUUAAUUUGGGAUGAGACGAGCGCUCGGUUGAAGUUGUUAUCAAUUAAUCGGCUAGCACGCGAUUGAGGAAGUCGUUUUGAUUGGAUUAGUGAGCGUGGGGGGGGGACGUACGCAUUUGUCAUUACGCGGCGCAGUUGAAGAGUCGCAGCGAACAAAGGAAGGCUGAGGUCGAUACACUCUGUCCGCGCUGUCGGGGGGAAAUAUCAUUUUAGUUCUUUAAUGUUAACCUUGCUUAACGACGUUGUAUUAUAAGUUGACGUAAGACGUGUUUUGAGUAGAUUCAACAAAUAAUUGGCUGCACUCGUUUAGUUGUUAGCAUCAUCGGCUAAGAGGACAAUCAGCGAGCUGACGGCGUUCAAUUGAAACGAGCUUUGUUUUUUUUAAAAGAAUGGCGGAAGUUUAUAUUAGAGUGGCGGAGGAGGAAAACGAGGAGCCCAUGGAGAUCCCGUCCGAGGACGACGGCACUGUUCUGCUUUCAACCGUGGCAGCUCAGUUUCCAGGGGCGUGUGGCCUGCGAUUCAGGAGCCCCGUGUCCCAGUGCAUGCGAGGAGUGCGUCUCGUGGAAGGGAUCCUGCACGCGCCCGAAAACGGAUGGGGCAAUGUGGUGUAUGUGGUGAACUAUCCAAAAGACAACAAAAGAAAAAUGGAGGAAAUUGAUGCCUCCUCUGCUGUGAAAAUGAAGAGAGGGGACAUGAAGACGUCUGAUCUGAUCGUCCUGGGUCUUCCUUGGAAAACAUCUGAGCAGGACCUUAAAGACUACUUUAGCACAUUUGGAGAAGUCAUUAUGGUUCAGGUGAAACGAGAUGCGAAGACUGGGAACUCUAAAGGAUUUGGCUUUGUAAGGUUCACUGAGUAUGAGUCUCAAGAAAAGGUGAUCUCUCAGCGCCAUAUGAUUGACGGAAGAUGGUGUGACUGCAAGCUCCCUAAUUCAAAGGUGACUAUGCAAGGUCCAGAUGAGCCAUUAAGGAGCCGUAAAGUGUUUGUUGGCCGUUGCACAGAAGACAUGACCACAGAUGAUCUAAGGCAGUUCUUUAUGCAGUAUGGAGAAGUCACAGAUGUCUUCAUCCCCAAGCCAUUCCGUGCUUUUGCCUUUGUCACAUUUGCAGAUGAUCAGGUUGCCCAGUCUCUCUGUGGAGAGGACCUAAUAAUCAAAGGCGUCAGCGUUCAUAUCUCAAAUGCUGAGCCCAAACAUGGCAAUAGGCAGUUUGACCGCACCACACGUUUUGGGAAUGGCUUUGGGGCUCAAGCAUUUGGUAGCAGUCGUAGCGGGUUAGGAGGGAGCAGCACUAACAGUAGUCUGGCUAACUUCGGUUCCUUCAGUCUGAACCCCGCCAUGAUGGCUGCGGCUCAGGCUGCACUUCAGAGUAGUUGGGGGAUGAUGGGAAUGCUGGCUAGCCAGCAGCAGACGUCUACCUCAGGCAGUACCUCAAGUGGAACAAGCUCAAGCAGGGACCCAAGUCAGUCUUUCAGUGCAGGAAACAGCAACUAUGGCACUAACUCAGCAAGCCUGGGCUGGGGAGCAGGGUCAAACUCUGCAACCAGUGGUAGUGGGUUUAGCUCAGGUUUUGGGUCCAGUAUGGAGUCAAAGUCGUCUGGGUGGGGUAUGUAAGUUAAAUGUUUGUAUGGUAAGUAUUGUGAAAAAGCCGAGUCUUUUCAAAAUUUAUUUCUGGUGUUGAUGCGUAUCUGAAAACUUAACACUUUUAUGGAAGAUGUUUUGUACAUUUGGAAAAAAAAACUGCUAAAGAUUUAAUUUAGAAAGUGUCGAAGUGAGUUGUUUACCAGGAUGUCUGACUAAAGUGCUAUUUUUGAUGUUUCAUUUGUUUGUAUCCAUUUCAACUGGAUUCUCUAAUGCAUGUAUUGUGAAAUGUGUUAUAGCCAUUUUGAAAAUGCAUGAAUGUUUGUGGUUCACCAUUAUCCAGCUUUGUCGUUGACCUAAAAUGCAAUCUUGCAUUGAGAAGAAUCUGGUUGAAAACUUAAUGUUUUAAGUGCAACUUAAUUUGCAGUCAAGUUCUGUGGAAAGCCUUCAUUGAAAUCUCUUCUGCAGUUCACCUCUCUUCAAUUUUCCUGUGAGGAAGCUCCUCUUUGGCAGCAUUCUUGGGGUGAUAUCGGUAUCAUUCUCCCUCUUCCCACCUGUAAAUGCAAUGCCAUCAAAGAACGGCUUCACUACGCAUGUUCUAAGAGACGGGACCUUGGGCUCUGCUGGUCGAGGUCUCCGUUUGAACCCUGACUGAAGUCUGUUCUGAAGGACGAAGACGGAAGUUCCAACACUUUCAGUGUGUGGCCUUCUCAUACAUGACAUGGGGUAGUACCUGUCUUUUUGCUGCUUUCAAUGGCUUUUAGAGUAAAUUAUCCCUUUCUGAUUAUUCACACCUAGUUUUAGAUUUGUCUUUAUUUGGAUCUUAAAAAGAUGAGCUCUCAAUGUGGAAUCAGAUCUCCUAGCCAUGUUUUGUGUAUGGCCUAACACCCAGUGGCCACUUGAUUCAGUACACCUGUACAAUCUAUUGCAAAUACUUAAGUUUCCCCGUGGGUGAUACGUAACGGCCAGCAUCUGUGCUGUGUGCCCUAUGAGUUAAAUCUGCAGAAGACCUCAGAUCUUCAUUAAAAAAAUAACUGUUAACAUAUGAUUUUGUAUUUAGCAGUUUUGAUGAUAAACUUAGAUGUCUGCUCCUGUGUGCACUGCUUUGUCUUUCAAAAACCAAAUCUAUUCAGGUGAAGUACCAUGUUGACCAUUGAAAUAGUGUCUAAUAAUACAUUUGACUUAAUGGCAGGUGUCAUAAAUUGUACAGGUGUCCCUAACAAAGUGAUCAGUGGGUGUACUUGUGGUAAGUGCUAAAACAUUUUAUCAGUUUUUGAACCUUGGCAGGUGUAUCAUUAGUUGUUCAGACUGUGGUCAGCGCCUCUUUGACAGCUUUUUAAAAUAUCAAAUAAAAAUAUUCAAAUACAA
Molecule: RNA transcript, 3038 nt
Organism: Labrus bergylta (ballan wrasse)
Lineage: Eukaryota; Metazoa; Chordata; Actinopteri; Labriformes; Labridae
Gene: tardbpb
Gene name: TAR DNA binding protein b
Source: RefSeq, a predicted model, not a curated record